GACGAACGCUGGCGGCGUGCUUAACACAUGCAAGUCGAGCGGUAAGGCCCUUUCGGGGGUACACGAGCGGCGAACGGGUGAGUAACACGUGGGUGACCUGCCCUCAGCUCUGGGAUAAGCCUGGGAAACCGGGUCUAAUACUGGAUAUGACUCCAUGACGCAUGUUGUGGGGUGGAAAGCCUUGUGCGGCUGAGGAUGGGCCCGCGGCCUAUCAGCUUGUUGGUGGGGUGANGGCCUACCAAGGCGACGACGGGUAGCCGGCCUGAGAGGGCGACCGGCCACACUGGGACUGAGACACGGCCCAGACUCCUACGGGAGGCAGCAGUGGGGAAUCUUGCGCAAUGGGCGAAAGCCUGACGCAGCGACGCCGCGUGAGGGAUGACGGCCCU
RNAcentral lists this ribosomal RNA (389 nucleotides) under uncultured bacterium. RNAcentral describes it as "bacterial SSU rRNA". It matches the Rfam family "Bacterial small subunit ribosomal RNA", at positions 28 to 418 of the family's 1533-position model. The record is from RNAcentral.